Molecule: ribosomal RNA, 462 nt
Filed under: uncultured bacterium
Lineage: Bacteria
Description: bacterial SSU rRNA
Rfam family: Bacterial small subunit ribosomal RNA
Source: RNAcentral
GACCCGCACAAGUAGCGGAGCAUGUGGUUUAAUUCGAAGCAACGCGAAGAACCUUACCUAAGCUUGACAUCCUUUUGACCGAUGCUUAAUCGCAUCUUUCCCUUCGGGGACAGAAGUGACAGGUGGUGCAUGGUUGUCGUCAGCUCGUGUCGUGAGAUGUUGGGUUAAGUCCCGCAACGAGCGCAACCCUUGCCUUUAGUUGCCAGCAUUAAGUUGGGCACUCUAGAGGGACUGCCAGGGAUAACCUGGAGGAAGGUGGGGAUGACGUCAAAUCAUCAUGCCCCUUAUGCUUAGGGCUACACACGUGCUACAAUGGGUGGUACAGAGGGCAGCCAAGUCGUGAGGCGGAGCUAAUCCCUUAAAGCCAUUCUCAGUUCGGAUUGUAGGCUGAAACUCGCCUACAUGAAGCUGGAGUUACUAGUAAUCGCAGAUCAGAAUGCUGCGGUGAAUGCGUUCCCGGGU